RNAcentral lists this ribosomal RNA (516 nucleotides) under Alternaria tenuissima. Its description in RNAcentral is "eukaryotic LSU rRNA". The stretch from base 152 to 305 matches the Rfam family "5.8S ribosomal RNA". Lineage: Eukaryota; Fungi; Ascomycota; Dothideomycetes; Pleosporales; Pleosporaceae. The record is from RNAcentral.
GCGGGCUGGACCUCUCGGGGUUACAGCCUUGCUGAAUUAUUCACCCUUGUCUUUUGCGUACUUCUUGUUUCCUUGGUGGGUUCGCCCACCACUAGGACAAACAUAAACCUUUUGUAAUUGCAAUCAGCGUCAGUAACAAAUUAAUAAUUACAACUUUCAACAACGGAUCUCUUGGUUCUGGCAUCGAUGAAGAACGCAGCGAAAUGCGAUAAGUAGUGUGAAUUGCAGAAUUCAGUGAAUCAUCGAAUCUUUGAACGCACAUUGCGCCCUUUGGUAUUCCAAAGGGCAUGCCUGUUCGAGCGUCAUUUGUACCCUCAAGCUUUGCUUGGUGUUGGGCGUCUUGUCUCUAGCUUUGCUGGAGACUCGCCUUAAAGUAAUUGGCAGCCGGCCUACUGGUUUCGGAGCGCAGCACAAGUCGCACUCUCUAUCAGCAAAGGUCUAGCAUCCAUUAAGCCUUUUUUCAACUUUUGACCUCGGAUCAGGUAGGGAUACCCGCUGAACUUAAGCAUAUCAUAG